Molecule: transfer RNA, 86 nt
Filed under: Actinoplanes xinjiangensis
Lineage: Bacteria; Bacillati; Actinomycetota; Actinomycetes; Micromonosporales; Micromonosporaceae
Description: tRNA-Pro
Source: RNAcentral
CGACCGUGGCAGGGCCCGCACGCUCACCGUCUGGGGGACGGUGGCGAGGUUGGCGGCCACCACGUUCGGCCCGCGCCGGACGACCA